This is a non-coding RNA of Picea glauca (white spruce), 121 nucleotides long. The record is from Rfam. Lineage: Eukaryota; Viridiplantae; Streptophyta; Pinopsida; Pinales; Pinaceae.
ACAUGCCUACAACAUAAUGUUAAUGCACUAGAUCCCAUUAUAACUCCACAGUUAAGCAUGCUCAUGCUAGAGUAGUACUAGGAUGGGUGACUGCACUGGAAGUCCUAGUGUUUUACAUGCC